This is a long non-coding RNA of Oncorhynchus keta (chum salmon), 958 nucleotides long. RefSeq lists it as uncharacterized. The record is from RefSeq and is a predicted model, not a curated record. The transcript is spliced from 4 exons. Lineage: Eukaryota; Metazoa; Chordata; Actinopteri; Salmoniformes; Salmonidae.
AAGAGGUUCUAUUCAUGUUACUGUGUGUUAACAUGAGGUUCUAUUCAUGUUACUGUGUGUUAACGUGAGGAAGAGGUUCUAUUCAUGUUACUGUGUGUUAACGUGAGGAAGAGGUUCUAUUCAUGUUACUGUGUGUUAACGUGAGGAAGAGGUUCUAUUCAUGUUCCUGUGUGUUAACGUGAGGAAGAGGUUCUAUUCAUGUUACUGUGUGUUAACAUGAGGUUCUAUUCAUGUUACUGUGUGUUAACGUGAGGAAGAGGUUCUAUUCAUGUUACUGUGUGUUAACAUGAGGAAGAGGUUCUAUUCAUGUUACUGUGUGUUAACGUGAGGAAGAGGUUCUAUUCAUGUUACUGUGUGUUAACAUGAGGUUCUAUUCAUGUUACUGUGUGUUAACGUGAGGAAGAGGUUCUAUUCAUGUUACUGUGUGUUAACAUGAGGAAGAGGUUCUAUUCAUGUUACUGUGUGUUAACGUGAGGAAGAGGUUCUAUUCAUGUUACUGUGUGUUAACAUGAGGAAGAGGUUCUAUUCAUGUUACUGUGUUAAUGUGAGGAAGAGGUUCUAUUCAUGUUACUGUGUGUUAACGUGAGGAAGAGGUUCUAUUCAUGUUACUGUGUGUUAACGUGAGGAAGAGGUUCUAUUCAUGUUACUGUGUGUUAACGUGAGGAAGAGGUUCUAUUCAUGUUACUGUGUGUUAACAUGAGGAAGAGGUUCUAUUCAUGUUACUGUGUGUUAACGUGAGGAAGAGGUUCUAUUCAUGUUACUGUGUGUUAAUGUGAGGAAGAGGUUCUAUUCAUUAUUUAACAGCCCUGCAGGUCCAGAGAAUCCAGCAGAUUCCCUAAUGGAUGUAAACAGAUUAACACACACAGCUGGAUACCAAGCACACACACUGUCUAGAUGAGCACACUGUAGCAGGGAUUAUGGGUAAUCCUCCAAUCUUACUUCCUCUGGUGAAUCACAC